CUGCAGGUCCAGCCCAAACGCUAGCCUGUCCUCAGACCCCCCAACCCAGGCCAGGGCCACCUCCUGCCCCCGGGCCCGCUGCACGCUCUGUGUUGGCUCCAGCGCUCUGACUGCCGCACCUUCUCCAGCCCAGCACAGCACCUGGGCCGGGUGGAACCGCGUUCUGAGUGCAAAGAAUGGAAGUGAUCUUCAACUGGCGGCGGGAAACGUGGACGCAAGUCAGCCCAGCGUCGGGCAUGAAAGGAGUGUGGGUUGACACAGACUCACGGCUCGUGAAACCCCCAGGCAUCAGCGCAUGUGUGUACACUGUAUCUCCAUGUGUGUGCACACUGUAUUACCACAUGUGUGCGCACAAAACCUCCAUGCAUGUGCACACCGUACUUCCAGGUGUGUGUACACCAUGCCUCCACAUGUGUGCACAUCACACUUCCACACGUGUGCACACCAUACUUCCAGGUGUGUGCACACUGUACUGCCACACGUGUGCACACCAUACUUCCAGGUGUGUGCACACUGUACUGCCAUGCAUGUGCACACUGUACCUCCAGGUGUGUGCACACUGUACCUCCACACGUGUGCACACCAUACCUCCAGGGGUGUGCACACCGUACCUCCACGCGCGUGCCCACCGUACCUCCAGGGGUGUGCACACUGUACCUCCAGGGGUGUGCACACCAUACCUCCAUGAACAUGCACACUGUACCUCCAGGGGUGUGCACACUGUGCCUCUACCCAGCCCUUCCCUCCAAGCCAUAGGUUGCUGCCUGCAGUGGCGUCUCACGGGCGGCUUGCCCGUGUGUUCUCAGGGCCUGAACUCAGAGGAGUGGAGGGUCACUGUGGCCAGGACAGGCACUAGUUCUGUGAUCUGGCUUCAUCCUCUUCACGGCUGUCACAGCAGUUCCCUGCGGAUAACAACUCUGAACAAGCUGCAGGAAUUAAACCAAACAAAAGCACGGCGUGGGGAUGAGUGCCCGCGUCCAGGUGCACGGCCUCCGUGAGGUGUCCGGGAGCCCAGGGACAGGCACUGUGUGGGGAUGAGUGCCCACGUCCGGGUGCACGGCCUCCGUGAGGUGGCCGGGAGCUCAGGGACAGGCACUAUGUGGGGAUGAGUGCCCACGUCCAGGUGCAUGGACUCCGUGAGGUGGCCAGGAGCCCAGGGACAGUGGCUGCUGAUGCCUGGGCUCAGGUUUCCUGCAAGGAUGCCUCUCUCAUGAAAUCUCCGGAUUGUUUGGGUUUCCGUCCAGCGUUAAAGCCUAUUAUGACUGAGACAGGGAGGCAGGCAGCCGCUGACAUCAGCCCGUAAAGAAUCGGGGAGUAUCAGCCAUCCAGAGCCAGUCUCUGGGGUACAUGGGGAUAUGUUGUGGGCUCUGCGUGAGAGAACCCUCGCCAGGCGUGAAAUUGGGGCAGACGCCAGCUGACAGCUCCCACAGCCUUGCGCCCAGUGCCGAGUCUGCAGCUCUGCCCGCUGUUUGUGGUGAAUGUCCUCUGAUGCCUCCUGUCCCGUUGUGUUCCUGCAGUCUCCAUUUCCCUAACAGACACGCCCCAGGCCUGCGGGUCCACAGACCUGCCCACCCCCAGGCCUGCCCAUCAGUCCCCAGGCCUGCUGGCCCCCAGGCCUGCCUACCCCCCAGACCUGCCCACCCCCCAGGCCUGCUGGUCCCUGCACCUGCCCAUACCCAGGCCCACCGGUCCCCACGCAUCUCCAUGCCUCUACCUCCCACCUGGAAGCCCCUGUGCUCAAACCUCAGGCUCCUCUCACGUCUCCUCACCAGGCAGCCCUGUGUCUGCGUCACCUACAAAGCACUCAGGCAAUGGCCCGCAGCCUGUCGGGAACAGGGACUGCUAACCAGUCAGCUCUGUUCUCUCUUCUCAGACAGUGCAGGGACAGAGGGAAGACUGAGCACCAGUCCACAGGCAGCAGCCGGCACAGCGCCGGUGUAGUCGGUGACUCCCGCCCCGGCCACACACACAGAGCACCUGGGCCCCAGGCUGUGCCGCCCCCACCUGCAGGAGGCCCAGGAGCAGUGCUGGUUUCUCACUCAGCAGACCAGCGUGGAGGCAGAGCAUGACAAACACAGACGCAAGCAAACUGUCGGCUCUCCCAAGUCUGCCCACGUGCUUCCUUCAGGCCAGGAAUUGUUCCUCUUUAAAAAAAUCAAAAUAAAACUCAGAACAAAGGUCA
Molecule: long non-coding RNA, 2182 nt
Organism: Oryctolagus cuniculus (rabbit)
Lineage: Eukaryota; Metazoa; Chordata; Mammalia; Lagomorpha; Leporidae
Source: Ensembl